GAGCGGGAUUAAGUAGCAAUACUUAUGAGAGCGGCGCACGGGUGCGUAACGCGUAUGCAACCUACCCACAACUGGAGGAUAGCUUUCGGAAACGGAAAUUAAUACUCCAUAAUGCAGGGGUACCGCAUGGUACUAUUUGCUAAAGAUUUAUUGGUUGUGGAUGGGCAUGCGUCUGAUUAGUUAGUUGGUGAGGUAACGGCUCACCAAGACAUCGAUCAGUAGGGGGUCUGAGAGGAUGAUCCCCCACACUGGCACUGAGAUACGGGCCAGACCCCUACGGGAGGCAGCAGUAGGGAAUAUUGGGCAAUGGGCGAAAGCCUGACCCAGCCAUGCCGCGUGAAGGAAGAAGGCCUUCUGGGUUGUAAACUUCUUUUAUACAGGAAGAAAAAGGUCAUGCGUGGCCAAUUGACGGUACUGUAUGAAUAAGCACCGGCUAACUCCGUGCCAGCAGCCGCGGUAAUACGGAGGGUGCAAGCGUUGUCCGGAUUUAUUGGGUUUAAAGGGUGCGCAGGCGGCGCGUUAAGUCAGUGGUGAAAUCCUCCCGCUCAACGGGAGAACUGCCAUUGAUACUGGCGUGCUUGAGUACGGACGAGGUAGGCGGAAUUUAUGGUGUAGCGGUGAAAUGCAUAGAUACCAUAAAGAACACCGAUAGCGAAGGCAGCUUACUAGACCGUAACUGACGCUCAUGCACGAAAGCGUGGGGAGCAAACAGGAUUAGAUACCCUGGUAGUCCACGCUGUAAACGAUGAUCACUCGAUGUGUGCGAUAUACCGUACGCGUCCAAGCGAAAGCGUUAAGUGAUCCACCUGGGGAGUACGUUCGCAAGAAUG
Molecule: ribosomal RNA, 830 nt
Filed under: uncultured bacterium
Lineage: Bacteria
Description: bacterial SSU rRNA
Rfam family: Bacterial small subunit ribosomal RNA
Source: RNAcentral